AUAAAGUUGUCAAAAAAAUAGCUACAUUUAGUUUGCUGCCAAAUUUUGGUAACUAUAUAAGGGGCCUGUUCACUUUGAUGCCAAAAAAAACCUUACCAAAUUUUGGCAUUCCAAAAUUUUGGCAUAGUUGCCAAAAUUUUGACAACUUGCCAAAAUUUUGGUAGGAUUUCUUAUAUAGUUACAAAAAUUUGGCAGCAAACUAAAUGUAGCCACUUUUUGACAACUUUACC
RNAcentral lists this unclassified non-coding RNA (230 nucleotides) under Oryza sativa (Asian cultivated rice). RNAcentral describes it as "partial microRNA MIR480e precursor". The record is from RNAcentral. Lineage: Eukaryota; Viridiplantae; Streptophyta; Magnoliopsida; Poales; Poaceae.